UACAGAGGUCCCAAGCGUUGUUCGGAUUUACUGGGCGUAAAGGGCGCGUAGGCGGUCAGCACAAGUCAGUUGUGAAAUCUCCGAGCUUAACUCGGAAAGGUCAACUGAUACUGUGCGACUAGAGUGCGGAAGGGGCAACUGGAAUUCUUGGUGUAGCGGUGAAAUGCGUAGAUAUCAAGAGGAACACCUGCGGCGAAGGCGGGUUGCUGGGCCGACACUGACGCUGAAGCGCGAAAGCCAGGGGAGCGAACGGG
This 254-nucleotide ribosomal RNA is filed under the name uncultured bacterium. Its description in RNAcentral is "partial 16S ribosomal RNA". It matches the Rfam family "Bacterial small subunit ribosomal RNA", at positions 524 to 776 of the family's 1533-position model. The record is from RNAcentral.